Picea glauca (white spruce) is the source of this 187-nucleotide non-coding RNA. NCBI's taxonomy places the organism in Eukaryota, Viridiplantae, Streptophyta, Pinopsida, Pinales, Pinaceae. The record is from Rfam.
AAUAACCAAAUAUAGCACUUGGGUUAAGAGUUGGGUUCAUAAUUUUUCUUACAUCUCCACCGUCAGGAGCCCAAGUAUCAUAUACACCUCCAAAAUACAAAGCCUUGAGCACUGGAAGAAAAGAACCAACACCUAGCAAGAUUAGGUGAAUACCCAAGAUUGUGGUCAUUUUGUUUCUAUCUUUCCA